CGGCGAGUGAAGCGGCAACAGCUCAAAUUUGAAAUCUGGCCCUCUCGGGGCCCGAGUUGUAAUUUGCAGAGGGUGCUUUGGCGUCGGCUGUGGUCUAAGUUCCUUGGAACAGGACGUCGCAGAGGGUGAGAAUCCCGUAUGUGGCCGCCAGCCUUCGCCGUGUAAAGCCCCUUCGACGAGUCGAGUUGUUUGGGAAUGCAGCUCUAAAUGGGAGGUAAAUUUCUUCUAAAGCUAAAUAUCUGCCAGAGACCGAUAGCGCACAAGUAGAGUGAUCGAAAGAUGAAAAGCACUUUGGAAAGAGAGUCAAAAAGCACGUGAAAUUGUUGAAAGGGAAGCGCUUGCAGUUAGACAUGCCUUUAGUUGCUCAGCCGGGCUCUUUGGCCCGGUGCACUCUUCUAUCGGCAGGCCAGCAUCAGUCUGGGCGGUCGGAUAAAGGCCUAUUAAACGUGACUCCCUUUGGGGAGAGCUUAUAGGGUAGGCGCCAUGCGACCAGCCUGGACUGAGGUCCGCGCAUCCGCUAGGAUGCUGGCGUAAUAGCUGCAAGCGGCCCGUCUUGAAACACGGACCAAGGAGUCUAACAUCUAUGCGAGUGUUUGGGUGUCAAGCCCGGGCGCGUAAUGAAAGUGAACGGAGGUGGGAUCCCUUCGGGGUGCACCAUCGACCGAUCCUGAUGUCUUCGGAUGGAUUUGAGUAAGAGCAUAGCUGUUGGGACCCGAAAGAUGGUGAACUAUGCCUGAAUAGGGUGAAGCCAGAGGAAACUCUGGUGGAGGCUCGCAGCGGUUCUGACGUGCAAAUCGAUCGUCAAAUUUGGGCAUAGGGGCGAAAGACUAA
RNAcentral lists this ribosomal RNA (831 nucleotides) under Vaginatispora appendiculata. RNAcentral's name for it is "eukaryotic LSU rRNA". It matches the Rfam family "Eukaryotic large subunit ribosomal RNA", at positions 87 to 934 of the family's 3401-position model. Lineage: Eukaryota; Fungi; Ascomycota; Dothideomycetes; Pleosporales; Lophiostomataceae. The record is from RNAcentral.